AUUGAACGCUGGCGGCAUGCCUUACACAUGCAAGUCGAACGGCAGCACGGGUGCUUGCACCUGGUGGCGAGUGGCGAACGGGUGAGUAAUACAUCGGAACGUACCUUAUCGUGGGGGAUAACGCAGCGAAAGCUGUGCUAAUACCGCAUACGCACUGAGGGGGAAAGCGGGGGAUCGCAAGACCUCGCGCGAUGAGGGCGGCCGAUGCCUGAUUAGCUUGUUGGUGGGGUAAAAGCCCACCAAGGCGACGAUCAGUAGCUGGUCUGAGAGGACGAUCAACCACACUGGGACUGAGACACGGCCCAGACUCCUACGGGAGGCAGCAGUGGGGAAUUUUGGACAAUGGGGACAACCCUGAUCCAGCAAUGCCGCGUGAGUGAAGAAGGCCUUCGGGUUGUAAAGCUCUUUUGUCAGGGAAGAAACACCGGCUCUAACACAGUCUGGGAAUGACGGUACCUGAAGAAUAAGCACCGGCUAACUACGUGCCAGCCGCCGCCGUAA
This 501-nucleotide ribosomal RNA is filed under the name uncultured bacterium. RNAcentral describes it as "partial 16S ribosomal RNA". It matches the Rfam family "Bacterial small subunit ribosomal RNA", at positions 29 to 523 of the family's 1533-position model. The record is from RNAcentral.